This 1034-nucleotide ribosomal RNA is filed under the name uncultured bacterium. Its description in RNAcentral is "bacterial SSU rRNA". It matches the Rfam family "Bacterial small subunit ribosomal RNA", at positions 336 to 1393 of the family's 1533-position model. The record is from RNAcentral.
CUCCUACGGGAGGCAGCAGUGGGGGAUAUUGCACAAUGGGGGAAACCCUGAUGCAGCGACGCCGCGUGGAGGAAGAAGGUUUUCGGAUUGUAAACUCCUGUCGUUAGGGACGAUAAUGACGGUACCUAACAAGAAAGCACCGGCUAACUACGUGCCAGCAGCCGCGGUAAAACGUAGGGUGCAAGCGUUGUCCGGAAUUACUGGGUGUAAAGGGAGCACAGGCGGGAAGACAAGUUGGAAGUGAAAACCAUGGGCUCAACCCAUGAAUUGCUUUCAAAACUGUUUUUCUUGAGUAGUGCAGAGGUAGAUGGAAUUCCCGGUGUAGCGGUGGAAUGCGUAGAUAUCGGGAGGAACACCAGUGGCGAAGGCGGUCUACUGGGCACCAACUGACGCUGAGGCUCGAAAGCAUGGGUAGCAAACAGGAUUAGAUACCCUGGUAGUCCAUGCCGUAAACGAUGAUUACUAGGUGUUGGGGGAUUGACCCCCUCAGUGCCGCAGUUAACACAAUAAGUAAUCCACCUGGGGAGUACGACCGCAAGGUUGAAACUCAAAGGAAUUGACGGGGGCCCGCACAAGCAGUGGAGUAUGUGGUUUAAUUCGAAGCAACGCGAAGAACCUUACCAGGUCUUGACAUCCGAUGCAUAGCACAGAGAUGUGUGAAAUCCUUCGGGACAUCGAGACAGGUGGUGCAUGGUUGUCGUCAGCUCGUGUCGUGAGAUGUUGGGUUAAGUCCCGCAACGAGCGCAACCCUUAUUGCCAGUUACUACGUUAAGAGGACUCUGGCGAGACUGCCGUUGACAAAACGGAGGAAGGUGGGGAUGACGUCAAAUCAUCAUGCCCUUUAUGACCUGGGCUACACACGUACUACAAUGGCGUUAAACAAAGAGAAGCAAGACCGCGAGGUGGAGCAAAACUCAAAAACAACGUCUCAGUUCAGAUUGUAGUCUGCAACUCGACUACAUGAAGCUGGAAUCGCUAGUAAUCGCGAAUCAGAAUGUCGCGGUGAAUACGUUCCCGGGUCUUGUACACACCGC